RNAcentral lists this non-coding RNA (91 nucleotides) under Candidatus Salinicoccus merdavium. RNAcentral's name for it is "Purine riboswitch". It matches the Rfam family "Purine riboswitch aptamer", at positions 10 to 95 of the family's 102-position model. Rfam says of the family: Riboswitches are metabolite binding domains within certain messenger RNAs that serve as precision sensors for their corresponding targets. Allosteric rearrangement of mRNA structure is mediated by ligand binding, and this results in modulation of gene expression. The record is from RNAcentral. Lineage: Bacteria; Bacillati; Bacillota; Bacilli; Caryophanales; Staphylococcaceae.
UAUUAUAAUUAUUUAUUUCAUAUAAUCACAGUAAUAUGGAUUGUGAGUUUCUAUGGUUUUCCAUAAAAAAACCUACUAUGAGAUAGCAAUU